Epinephelus fuscoguttatus (brown-marbled grouper) is the source of this 76-nucleotide small nucleolar RNA. RefSeq annotates it as small nucleolar RNA SNORD60. The transcript has a single exon. NCBI's taxonomy places the organism in Eukaryota, Metazoa, Chordata, Actinopteri, Perciformes, Serranidae. The record is from RefSeq and is a predicted model, not a curated record.
AGCCAGUGAUGACAAACUAAAUAACUUUUCUGACACUGCACUCGCAGCUCCUGAUUCUAACUCUGAUCUGAGGCUC